UACGUAGGGGGCAAGCGUUGUCCGGAAUCAUUGGGCGUAAAGAGCGUGUAGGCGGCUCGGUAAGUCCGCUGUGAAAGUCCAGGGCUCAACCCUGGAAUGCCGGUGGAAACUGUCGAGCUAGAGUCCGGAAGAGGCGAGUGGAAUCCUGGUGUAGCGGUGAAAUGCGCAGAUAUCAAGGAGGAACACCAAUGGCGAAGGCAGCUCGCUGGGACGGUACUGACGCUGAGACGCGAAAGCGUGGGGAGCAAACAGG
RNAcentral lists this ribosomal RNA (253 nucleotides) under uncultured bacterium. RNAcentral describes it as "partial 16S ribosomal RNA". It matches the Rfam family "Bacterial small subunit ribosomal RNA", at positions 524 to 776 of the family's 1533-position model. The record is from RNAcentral.